RNAcentral lists this ribosomal RNA (253 nucleotides) under uncultured bacterium. RNAcentral describes it as "partial 16S ribosomal RNA". It matches the Rfam family "Bacterial small subunit ribosomal RNA", at positions 524 to 776 of the family's 1533-position model. The record is from RNAcentral.
UACGUAGGGAGCAAGCGUUGUCCGGAAUCAUUGGGCGUAAAGCGCGUGUAGGCGGCUCGAUAAGUCCGUUCUGAAAGUCCAGGGCUCAACCCUGGGAUGCGGAUGGAUACUGUCGAGCUCGAGUCCGGAAGAGGCGAGUGGAAUUCCUGGUGUAGCGGUGAAAUGCGCAGAUAUCAGGAGGAACACCAAUGGCGAAGGCAGCUCGCUGGGACGUGACUGACGCUGAGACGCGAAAGCGUGGGGAGCAAACAGG